Molecule: small nucleolar RNA, 77 nt
Gene: SNORD83
Rfam family: Small nucleolar RNA SNORD83
About the family: U83 (SNORD83) and U84 (SNORD84) are members of the C/D class of snoRNA which contain the C (UGAUGA) and D (CUGA) box motifs. They act as guanine methylation guides but lack complementarity to ribosomal RNA.
Source: Ensembl
GCCACAUGAUUAUGUUCAGAUUUCAUGAGCACCAUGUGCCAAGAUGACUCCUCAUCUAUCACCCAAGACUGAUGGCU